Molecule: small RNA, 802 nt
Filed under: Pongo abelii (Sumatran orangutan)
Lineage: Eukaryota; Metazoa; Chordata; Mammalia; Primates; Hominidae
Description: retained intron
Source: RNAcentral
GGGUUAGCAAACUUGUAUGAGAAAUAUAAUCACAUAAAUGCUAAGGAUGACUUGCCUGGUGUUUACCAAAAGCUCCUGGAUCUUUAUGAAAGUGUUGACAAACUGAAGUGGUGUGAUGUCUGCAAGAAACUUGUGGAUCUAUAUUACCAAGAAAAGAAACACCUAGAGGUGGCUCGAACAUGGCACAAGUUGAUAAAAACACGGCAGGAAGAAGGUGCAGACAACCAAGAGCUUCAUCAACUAUGGAGAAAAUUGACUCAGUUCCUGGCUGAAAGUACAGAGGACCAGAAUAAUGAAACUCAGCAAUUGCUUUUAACUGCUUUUGAGAAUGCACUGGGAUUAUCAGAUAAGAUUCCUAGUGAAGAUCACCAAGUACUUUAUAGGCAUUUCAUUCAGAGUUUAUCCAAAUUUCCUCAUGAGUCUGCUAGAUUGAAGAAGGCCUGUGAAGGAAUGAUAAACAUCUAUCCUACUGUACAGUAUCCAUUAGAAGUGCUUUGUUUGCAUUUAAUUGAAUCAGGUAAUUUCUUCCUUAUUAUAGUGUGUGUCCUAGAGGUGUGUGAUUAUGUGAGUGAUGUUAUUAAUCAAAAAAUGUUUUAGUGUCUACCAUGUUUAAGGUGUUGUUUCUGUGUUUCUGGACAUAAAAAGAAGUAUAAUGUGUAGUCUUUGUGUACAUGAAAAGACUAAUAAAUAUAGAAAAGUACAGUAAUACAGAAGAAUUAUGGGUUGCCAGAUUUAUUGUUAGUCAGUGAAAUCUUUUUAAUGGUGGGAAUUGGAGGGGGUCUUGAAUUUAACUAGAUAAACA